RNAcentral lists this non-coding RNA (846 nucleotides) under Tchangsinaia piscicula. Lineage: Eukaryota; Metazoa; Mollusca; Bivalvia; Unionida; Unionidae. The record is from RNAcentral.
AAAAUUAACACUUCGUUCUGAUGCUAAGUUAGUUAAGACUUCUAAACUUCAUAUGGUAAACUAAAAGCUUUGUGAACAAUUUACUGUCCUAGCAAAAUGUUUAACACAUUAAACCUCGACCUUAAAAACAGGGCAUAACACGCUCUACGGAAUCAUCCCACAACACCAAUGACCUAUAUUGUCUAUAGCUAGGAAACUAGGCAACAGAGAUAGUCAAUCACAAGUGACUAAAUAAGGUGCCAGCAGUCGCGGUUACACCUAAUCUUGAGACUAAUUUUUACAAAAAAGAGGCCUAUAUAACUGAUCUCAAUUUUACCUGUAAAAGUGAAAUUUUAACUUAUACAAAUAUAUCCAAACAGAUCUUAAUUUUACCCUCAACAAACCACACCCACAAGACAGGGAUUAGAUACCCCACUAUUGCGUGGCUCAACACAACAAAUACUAAAAACGAAAGUUCCAAACUUAAAGAACGUGGCGGUGUUCUACACCUUAUUAGGGGAUCCUGUGGCUUAAUUCGAUAAUCCACGACCAAUAAAGCUUUAUUAGUUCACAGCUUAUGUAUGGCCGUCUUAUGCCUGCACACCAAUGUUAUAACAGGAGACAAUUAAAGCCAAUCUUUAACAAUACAGGUGACAUAUAGCCUAUAUAAAGCAGUUCAUGGGAUACAAAUAACUACUAUUACCCGAAGGUAACUUGAAACUUUUACAAAAAGGAGGACUUAAGAGUAAGAUUAAAACAACAUUUUGAUCUGAACAAGAUCUAGAACGCGCACAAAUCGCCCGUCACUCCCGGGCUCUAAUCGGGAUAAGUCGUAACACAGUAGGGGUAACGGAAGCUGCCCCUAAU